This is a long non-coding RNA of Oncorhynchus keta (chum salmon), 3172 nucleotides long. RefSeq lists it as uncharacterized. NCBI's taxonomy places the organism in Eukaryota, Metazoa, Chordata, Actinopteri, Salmoniformes, Salmonidae. The record is from RefSeq and is a predicted model, not a curated record. The transcript has 3 exons.
AGGGGGCAGCAACAGAGGGGGAGUCGAGGCGAGUGAAAGAGAGAAAGAGAGCGGGAGACCUCUCCCUGUGCAAUUCUGCUAUCCGUGAGAGAGGUGAAGAUUCCACACACGCCCUGUUUCCCCCCGCAGCUCCACGGAAACAAGCAGAACGACAGAAGACCGAGGAAGGACAAGAGAGGAGAGACUGGCAGGAUAAACACAGGCUGUCAGAGCCACAGAGAGGAGGGAGAAGGAGUGAGGUAUAGACGGGGAGAAUCAUGCCUCUCCAGAGGGUCGCCGCCGCCCGCUGCUUGGCUGCCUUGCCUAUUUGAGGAGAGGAGGAUCGCAGUUGGGAAUACUGAGCCAAGAACGCCGAAGGGGAGCCAAGGAGACGCCAGUGAUUCUGUACCAUGAGCGGGAACAGGAGGAGGGAGGAGGCUCGCUGAAAACAUGGACCAGGGGUGUGCCGGUCCACCACGCCCAGUGCAGGGUACACAAGCUGGUGACACUGCUGGAGGCCCUGAACCAUGAUCCAUUCAAACCCUCGGCAGAAAUUCCUCAGGUUUGCCUCCAGGACAAGACUCAUCCCAAUGAACGUCAACCUGUGUUCUGACUGGUCAGCUGUCUCCCCCUCUCCAUGCCAGUUGUCCAGGCAAACAAAGAGAGGACCCCCGCCCCAUGCCCCUACUCCUCCAUACUGCGAGUGGGGAAUUUAUGGCUCACAGUGGAAUCUGGACAUGGAGGGGUCACCACACUGCACCUCUUCCCACAGCCCCACAGCCUUACCCCCUUCAACGGAGUGCCCCAGGAUCCUCUGUGUCAACAGGCAGCACAGCCACGACAUACCUGGAUGUCAAACUUACUGCAUUCUAUGGGACAUGGCAUUCCGUCAUACACACAGGUGUCUAUGUUACGAAGAUGACACUAUGAUCACACAGGAGGAUCUCUCAAACAGUGUUGUGUCUGUCUCUCUCUAUCUCAAACACACACACUAUCUCUUCAUUUAUUUAGCCAGGAUACUCCACGCGGUAACAUUUGCCCCCCACACACACACACACACACACACACACACACACACACACACACACAUACUUGAACUAAUCCACAUUUUGUCAGAGACCCAUCUCUCCAGCUCUCCUCUUAAAAGAGCACAUUUUGUGCUGUGGGACCAAGACCGCUAUUAAUGGUCUUCAAUUAUUACACUUGAGAUGGGGGUCAGAGUGAAGGUCACUGUUUAUGUUCGAUGAACAGAGAGGGCGAGAGAAAGAGGGAGAGACGACUUGGCUGGACUCGAACAUGGUGUCCAUUCAGCUCUUAGCAGGGCUACAGAUGCAGUCCAAGCAGCAGCGGUAAAUGUAGUUGUGUCCGAUGGAGGGCCGAGUGAGAGAAAGAGAAAGUGAGAGAGGGCUACUGUGCUGUGACAGGCCUGACAGAGUAGCAGUGUGUGCUAAUGCGCCACUCCAUACUGAGGAGGCCCACUGUGAAUGAUGUUGAAAGGGUAUGACAACAAAGCUUAGAACCAACAAAAGUGUGUGCGUUUGGUUUGUGUGUGUGUGUGUGUGUGUGUGUCAUGCAUCUACUCACACAGAAAGGAGGGCUUCAAUCUCAGGACUAGAGGGAACUGGAGGGAAAGAGGGCGAGAGAACAGCGAUGGGACAGGCCGUGAGACGAGCAGUGUGACUCCAGAUAUCCGGCUAAUUGGAGUGACCGGAAUCGAUUGUAACACACAGUGAGUGCAGAGGCAUGGGACUGUGGACUGUGAUAUCUAGUAUGGCAGUUUUUCUUUUUCUUUCCUAAUUUUUUUAUCAAAUUUGGCACAGUUGGCAUCUCGUUAAUGCGUUGGUUGGUUGGUUCAGGGUAGGACCGCGAGCUGACCCUGUGAGCGGGCAGCAGCAGCGUUGGGGCCCAUCCAGGGGGGUUUGAGAUGGGGCGCAGUGGAGCGAGUAAACGUGAUGAACGUUGAUUGUUUGUGGGUUACCCUCCAAAGUGCUCCCUCUGCUGUGCAUUGUUAUGUAAUGACCGCCGGGGAGGGGGGCUGAUGGUCUUUUGGUGCUCUCCCCCCUAUACACCCCCCUCGAGGAGAGAGAUAGGGGUGUCAGCACCCAUCAGGGUCAAACUCUGUCUCACUCAGUCAGCCAGGGGGACCCUCUCUGGACCGUGGGCUGUGUACCAAUGACUAAGGCUGUCCAACAGACCCAGAGAAAGACGAGAGGGAGGGAGGGGGCGAGUGUUUUUUACUCCAGACAGAUACACAUACUGAACAGCGCUCAGACUUACAAUAGUAUAGUAAAUACACUACUCACACACAAUGGUAAAUAAGCUAAUCCAGUCAACAGAGUAACAAUGUAGUAGUAUGCAAAAUCUAAGUCUGCCCACUCAAACACCUGACAGACAGACUUCCUCACAGACGGCUUCCCAGUGGCUCUUUGGCUGGGCUCCUCGAGUCUCCCCCUCGUCGAUAAUAGAGGGGCCAUUUUGCCGGGCUGACAGGCCAGUUGACUUCUGCUGCAGAAAACCCGAACGGUGGAAUGCUGUGGCACUGUAUCGCCCCACCCAGAGCAGAUACAAGUGAUUUACUCCUCUGUCUGGUUGAACUGAAAACACACGUAGCCUACUGUAGGGUCAGGCUGAGUCAGAGAUUGGGGCUGCAUCCUUAAUCGCACCCUAUUCCUUAUAGGCCGCGGUCAAAAGUAGUGCACCACAUAGGACAUAGGGUGCCAUUUUGAGUGCGAGAGAGAGAGCCUACAGACUAUAGACAGUGCUCAAUGGUCACAGGGGACACGGAACAGUUCAGCUCACCAGCGGCCAUGGCCCUCACGCUCUCUGACUCCCACCACGGGACCUUAGUCCCGCCUCCCCCUCCUUCCUCAUAUCCCCUCACUCAGGGACCACGUGACCCCUUCCAGACAGCCCACCCUGCUCUGCUCUCCCACCUUAUGAGCACAAUCACCUAGAUAAAGACCCCGGUCUCUCCCUCUCCCAUGGAGGACUCCGACUGACCAGCUAUAGGCUGACCCUCUGGCAGCGGUAUGGAGCAAUGGGUGUCGAACAAUGUGCUCACUGGCAGGGCCUCGCCGAAGCCUCGCAGACUCUCAUAGAUCUCUUUGGAAGUGAGCUGAGGUGGAAGUAGUUGAAGGUCGUGGUUGAAUUGAAGAUGUGUGUUCAGGUGCCGAGCUGCCCUUGACACGGCUGG